UACGUAGGGUGCAAGCGUUGUCCGGAAUUAUUGGGCGUAAAGAGCUCGUAGGCGGUCUGUUGCGUCGGCUGUGAAAACCCGGGGCUCAACUCCGGGCCUGCAGCCGAUACGGGCAGACUAGAGUUCGGCAGGGGAGACUGGAAUUCCUGGUGUAGCGGUGAAAUGCGCAGAUAUCAGGAGGAACACCGGUGGCGAAGGCGGCUUGCUGGGCCAGUUCUGACGCUGAGGAGCGAAAGCGUGGGGAGCAAACAGG
Molecule: ribosomal RNA, 253 nt
Filed under: uncultured bacterium
Lineage: Bacteria
Description: partial 16S ribosomal RNA
Rfam family: Bacterial small subunit ribosomal RNA
Source: RNAcentral